This 805-nucleotide ribosomal RNA is filed under the name Psychrobacter cryohalolentis. Its description in RNAcentral is "bacterial SSU rRNA". It matches the Rfam family "Bacterial small subunit ribosomal RNA", at positions 57 to 855 of the family's 1533-position model. The record is from RNAcentral. Lineage: Bacteria; Pseudomonadati; Pseudomonadota; Gammaproteobacteria; Moraxellales; Moraxellaceae.
GCAAGUCGAGCGGAAACGAUGAUAGCUUGCUAUCAGGCGUCGAGCGGCGGACGGGUGAGUAAUACUUAGGAAUCUACCUAGUAGUGGGGGAUAGCACGGGGAAACUCGUAUUAAUACCGCAUACGACCUACGGGAGAAAGGGGGCAGUUUACUGCUCUCGCUAUUAGAUGAGCCUAAGUCGGAUUAGCUAGAUGGUGGGGUAAAGGCCUACCAUGGCGACGAUCUGUAGCUGGUCUGAGAGGAUGAUCAGCCACACCGGGACUGAGACACGGCCCGGACUCCUACGGGAGGCAGCAGUGGGGAAUAUUGGACAAUGGGGGAAACCCUGAUCCAGCCAUGCCGCGUGUGUGAAGAAGGCCUUUUGGUUGUAAAGCACUUUAAGCAGUGAAGAAGACUCUUCGGUUAAUACCCGGAGACGAUGACAUUAGCUGCAGAAUAAGCACCGGCUAACUCUGUGCCAGCAGCCGCGGUAAUACAGAGGGUGCAAGCGUUAAUCGGAAUUACUGGGCGUAAAGGGAGCGUAGGUGGCUCGAUAAGUCAGAUGUGAAAUCCCCGGGCUCAACCUGGGAACUGCAUCUGAUACUGUUGAGCUAGAGUAUGUGAGAGGAAGGUAGAAUUCCAGGUGUAGCGGUGAAAUGCGUAGAGAUCUGGAGGAAUACCGAUGGCGAAGGCAGCCUUCUGGCAUAAUACUGACACUGAGGCUCGAAAGCGUGGGUAGCAAACAGGAUUAGAUACCCUGGUAGUCCACGCCGUAAACGAUGUCUACUAGUCGUUGGGUCCCUUGAGGACUUAGUGACGCAGCUAA